This is a long non-coding RNA of Sorghum bicolor (sorghum), 1379 nucleotides long. RefSeq lists it as uncharacterized. The record is from RefSeq and is a predicted model, not a curated record. Lineage: Eukaryota; Viridiplantae; Streptophyta; Magnoliopsida; Poales; Poaceae. The transcript is spliced from 4 exons.
CGCGCGCUCGCCUCGCUCCUUCCUCAAGCUCCUCGCCGUAGGGCUUGCAAUGCGGGAUUGGCAAGGGACACAUGUUGCAACUGAAGAAGAGGCUAGGGCAACUUGGCGGUCAGUUCGGGCUCGGUAUGAAGGGGAACAAGCUCCAUGAUCGUUGUCCAUGGUGGCCAUGCUGACAAUGCAGGUGGAGGUCCCGGCGCCGCUAGCCUUCCCACCAACGAGCUCGCUGCCGGUCCAAGCGGAGGUGUCGGAAGUUUACAGGAAGCAGGGGCUAGAUGGAUGAGGUUCUUAGUCAGAUAUAGCCAAAAGCCAUAGAUCGGUUGGUGGCAAGAACUCCAUCCAUCUAACCCCUACUUCCUCCCAACUUCUGACACCUCUGCCUGGACCAGCAGUGAGCUUGUCCACGUGAGGGCAGGCCAGGCGGCACCAACACCUCCACUAGCGCUGUUAGCAUGACUACCACACACGAUGACCGGGGAAGCUUGUCCUCCUUCUAGUCGAGCCCAAACCGGUCGCCAAGAGACAGUCUGAGGCUGAGCUUCAUCUCCAUCCGAAGUUGCCCCAACAUUGAACGAAGAAGGCAAUCUUUCUUCCUCACGAGCAAGAUCAGAGCACCCAAGGAUUUGAAUUUCUUGUAUGUAAUCUAGAAGCAAGAUCGCGAGACGUCCCUAUCUAUAACACAACGCUGAUGUCCUCAAGGUUUUCAUUGUCGAAGAGUGAAAGAUCUCACAAGUCCUCCAUACGUUAGUUUCUAUUCUGGCCCAACAAUGAAGGUUGGUCUGCAACAUUCCCAGGUACAAUGGCAAUCAACGUCCUUCAAUUCAUGCUAAUUAAGAACUCAACAUGUCAUUGUACUUUGGCAAAAGACGAAGGAUAUUCAAGACAAAACCAGCAAUCGCACAAGCAUGUGCCAGCAGACAAUCCCCUCUCUCCUUCAUAGGCUGGCUGAAGUGGCAUUUCUCCUUCCUGCAAUGCAAGUCGCUGACGUCCACACUCCACAUCCUGCAACCUCCUAUCUCCUUCCUACCUGCAGUCCAUCUGCCAUGGCUCUUCUUAAUUGCUAUAACGGUGAAGUUAAAAAUAAUUAUUUUAUUGGUUUCUACUAGUUUUUUUCUGAGAAGAAAAAUAAAAAAAACUCGUUAUUAUCUGGUAUAAGAUGCAUAGAGAUAUCGAAGCCACAGGUAGAAAAAGCAGUAUACCUUGUUCUUCGACAUGUUUUCUCUUACAAUAAAUUAGUAGUAGCAUAAGCUAAAUUUUAGCAAAGCAGGGCAAUGACAUUAUUAUUGUAAUAUAUAGAGUAUCUGAUUCGAUGACGAUCUCGAUAUUUAACAGGUAGAUUAACGCGUGAGAUGGGUUAAGCUAGUUAAUGACGUACCCAGCGG